This 241-nucleotide ribosomal RNA is filed under the name uncultured bacterium. RNAcentral's name for it is "partial 16S ribosomal RNA". It matches the Rfam family "Bacterial small subunit ribosomal RNA", at positions 93 to 334 of the family's 1533-position model. The record is from RNAcentral.
AAGCGGCGGACGGGUGGGUAACGCGUGGGUAACCUACCCUGUACACACGGAUAACAUACCGAAAGGUAUGCUAAUACGGGAUAAUAUAUUUGAGAGGCAUCUCUUAAAUAUCAAAGGUGAGCCAGUACAGGAUGGACCCGCGUCUGAUUAGCUAGUUGGUAAGGUAACGGCUUACCAAGGCGACGAUCAGUAGCCGACCUGAGAGGGUGAUCGGCCACAUUGGAACUGAGACACGGUCCAA